AUUGAACGCUGGCGGCAGGCCUAACACAUGCCAGUCGAACGGUAACAGGAAGAAGCUUGCUUCUUUGCUGACGAGUGGCGGACGGGUGAGUAAUGUCUGGGAAACUGCCUGAUGGAGGGGGAUAACUACUGGAAACGGUAGCUAAUACCGCAUAACGUCGCAAGACCAAAGAGGGGGACCUUCGGGCCUCUUGCCAUCGGAUGUGCCCAGAUGGGAUUAGCUAGUAGGUGGGGUAACGGCUCACCUAGGCGACGAUCCCUAGCUGGUCUGAGAGGAUGACGAGGCACACAGGAAAUAAGAAACCGUCCAGACUCCGACGGGGGUCCGCAGUGGCGAAUAUUACAAAGUGGGCUCAAGCGUGAUAAAAUAAUGCCGCGUGGAUGAAGAAGGCAAUCGGAUUGUAAAAUACUUUUAGAGGUGAGGAAGGGAGUAAAGUCAAUACACUUGCUCAUUGGCGUUACCCGAAGAAGAAGCACAGGCUAACUCCGUG
Molecule: ribosomal RNA, 490 nt
Filed under: uncultured bacterium
Lineage: Bacteria
Description: partial 16S ribosomal RNA
Rfam family: Bacterial small subunit ribosomal RNA
Source: RNAcentral